GCACCCGUGGCCUAGCGGUUAGCGCCUUUGUUUUUGAAACUUGCAUCGCGGGUUCGAACCCCACCGAGGCU
Non-coding RNA from Caenorhabditis brenneri, 71 nucleotides. Lineage: Eukaryota; Metazoa; Nematoda; Chromadorea; Rhabditida; Rhabditidae. The record is from the annotation of a GenBank genome assembly.